Molecule: ribosomal RNA, 314 nt
Filed under: uncultured bacterium
Lineage: Bacteria
Description: partial 16S ribosomal RNA
Rfam family: Bacterial small subunit ribosomal RNA
Source: RNAcentral
UUAUAAGAGACAGCAGCAGCCACGGUAAUACGUAGGGUGCAAGCGUUAAUCGGAAUUACUGGGCGUAAAGCGUGCGCAGGCGGUUAUAUAAGACAGAUGUGAAAUCCCCGGGCUCAACCUGGGAACUGCAUUUGUGACUGUAUAGCUAGAGUACGGCAGAGGGGGAUGGAAUUCCGCGUGUAGCAGUGAAAUGCGUAGAUAUGCGGAGGAACACCGAUGGCGAAGGCAAUCCCCUGGGCCUGUACUGACGCUCAUGCACGAAAGCGUGGGGAGCAAACAGGAUUAGAUACCCCGGUAGUCCCUGUCUCUUAUAC